AGUGAACGCUGGCGGUAUGCCUAACACAUGCAAGUCGAACGGCAGCACAUCAUGAGCUUGUUAUUACGGGUGGAGAGUGGAGGACGGGUGCGGAACGCAUCCGAACCUACUUUUUCGCGGGGGGUAACGUUGGCUGACAUCGCCUACUACCGCAUAAGACCUACGGGUGACCGCAAGGGAUUUUCCGUUCUUGCCGGCCUGAGUGAGCCGAUGUCGGAUUAGCUAGUUGGCGGGGUAAAGGCCAACCAAGGCGACGAUCCGUAGCUGGUCUGAGAGGAUGAUCAGCCACACUGGAACUGAGACACGGUCCAGACUCCUACGGGAGGCAGCAGUGGGGAAUAUUGGACAAUGGGCGCAAGCCUGAUCCAGCCAUGCCGCGUGCGUGAAGAAGGCCUUCGGGUUGUAAAGCGCUUUUGUUGGGAAAGAAAAGCAGCAGGUUAAUACCCCGGGGUUCUGACGGUACCGAAAGAAUAAGCACCGGCUAACUUCGUG
This 492-nucleotide ribosomal RNA is filed under the name uncultured bacterium. Its description in RNAcentral is "partial 16S ribosomal RNA". It matches the Rfam family "Bacterial small subunit ribosomal RNA", at positions 29 to 507 of the family's 1533-position model. The record is from RNAcentral.